Molecule: ribosomal RNA, 843 nt
Filed under: Cystoderma muscicola
Lineage: Eukaryota; Fungi; Basidiomycota; Agaricomycetes; Agaricales; Squamanitaceae
Description: partial large subunit ribosomal RNA
Rfam family: Eukaryotic large subunit ribosomal RNA
Source: RNAcentral
AAGGAUUCCCCUAGUAACUGCGAGUGAAGCGGGAAAAGCUCAAAUUUAAAAUCUGAUAGUCUUAGGCUGUCCGAGUUGUAAUCUAGAGAAGUGUUAUCCGCGCUGGACCGUGUACAAGUCUCCUGGAAUGGAGCGUCAUAGAGGGUGAGAAUCCCGUCUUUGACACGGACUACCAGGGCUUUGUGAUGCGCUCUCAAAGAGUCGAGUUGUUUGGGAAUGCAGCUCAAAAUGGGUGGUAAAUUCCAUCUAAAGCUAAAUAUUGGCGAGAGACCGAUAGCGAACAAGUACCGUGAGGGAAAGAUGAAAAGAACUUUGGAAAGAGAGUUAAACAGUACGUGAAAUUGCUGAAAGGGAAACGCUUGAAGUCAGUCGCGUUGACCAGGGAUCAACCUUGCUCUUGCUGGGUGUACUUUCUGGUUAACGGGUCAACAUCAAUUUUGAUUGUUGGAAAAAGAUCAAGGGAAUGUAGCAUCUUCGGAUGUGUUAUAGCCUUUGGUUGUAUACAACAAUUGGGAUUGAGGAACUCAGCACGCCGAAAGGCCGGGUUUUUAACCACGUUCGUGCUUAGGAUGUUGGCAUAAUGGCUUUAAUCGACCCGUCUUGAAACACGGACCAAGGAGUCUAACAUGCCUGCGAGUGUUUGGGUGGAAAACCCGAGCGCGUAAUGAAAGUGAAAGUUGAGAUCCCUGUCGCGGGGAGCAUCGACGCCCGGACCAGAAAUUUAUGGACGGUUCCGCGGUAGAGCAUGUAUGUUGGGACCCGAAAGAUGGUGAACUAUGCCUGAAUAGGGUGAAGCCAGAGGAAACUCUGGUGGAGGCUCGUAGCGAUUCUGACGUGCAAAUC